RNAcentral lists this ribosomal RNA (780 nucleotides) under uncultured Cytophagaceae bacterium. RNAcentral's name for it is "bacterial SSU rRNA". It matches the Rfam family "Bacterial small subunit ribosomal RNA", at positions 8 to 796 of the family's 1533-position model. Lineage: Bacteria; Pseudomonadati; Bacteroidota; Cytophagia; Cytophagales; Cytophagaceae. The record is from RNAcentral.
AGAGUUUGAUCAUGGCUCAGGAUGAACGCUAGCGGCAGGCCUAAUACAUGCAAGUCGAACGGUGCCUUCGGGCAUAGUGGCGAACGGGUGCGUAACGCGUAAGUAACCUGCCCCAAACUGGGGGGAUAGCCCGGCGAGAGCUGGGGUAAGCCCGCAUAGUCUAACAAGGUGGCAUCAUCUAGUUAGUAAAGCUUCGGUGGUUUGGGAGGGACUUGCGUCUGAUUAGCUAGUUGGCGGGAUAGCAGCCCACCAAGGCAAUGAUCAGUAGGGGCUCUGAGAGGAGCGGCCCCCACACUGGCACUGAGAUACGGGCCAGACUCCUACGGGAGGCAGCAGUAGGGAAUAUUGGGCAAUGGUGGCAACACUGACCCAGCCAUGCCGCGUGCAGGAUGAAGGCGCUCAGCGUUGUAAACUGCUUUUAUCUGGGAAGAACGGCAAGAGUGCGCUCUUGUGUGACGGUACCAGAGGAAUAAGCACCGGCUAACUCCGUGCCAGCAGCCGCGGUAAUACGGAGGGUGCAAGCGUUGUCCGGAUUUAUUGGGUUUAAAGGGUGCGUAGGCGGGUCUGUAAGUCUGGUCUGAAAGUUGGUGGCUCAACCAUCAAGGGUGACUGGAUACUGCAGGGCUUGAAAUUGUUGGAGGCCACCGGAACGGAUCGUGUAGCGGUGAAAUGCAUAGAUAUGAUCCAGAACACCAAUUGCGAAGGCAGGUGGCUACGACUGAUUUGACGCUGAGGCACGAGAGCAUGGGGAGCAAACAGGAUUAGAUACCCCGGUAGUCC